GUUGGACCAUAUAUGAUAAAAAUAGUAAUUUUUUAUAGCUAACUAUUAUACAAGCUAACUAUAAAAUAGGUUAUAAAAUGGUUUAUAGUCAGCAGUUGGCUAUACUAUUAACCAUGCUCUCAGUGAACAGUUUAGGAUAGCCCACAAAAUGUUAAAUGGGUGAUCCAUCAUUGGCCCUCUUUGGAUCCAUAGGCUAGAGUUAGUUUGAGCUAGUUGAGGCUCAAAUAGCACUAAAGUAUCCAAACAUGAGGGUUAGAUUGAAGCUAGUUGCAUCUAACCCACCCAAAAAACUAGCCCACCCAAGAGGUGCUAAUUGGAGCUAGUUUUCAUGGGGCCCACUAAAAAGUCACUUUUCUCUCUCCAUUCACAAGAUAAUAGGUGUUAAUUGAAGCUAGUUCUCAUGGGACCCACUAAAAAAUCACUUUCCUCUCUUCAUCAAGUACACCUAUUGUCAAUCUAACUCUAUCAUCCAAACACCUCUUUGGCUAGAGUUAGUUUAAGGUUAGUCAUGAGCUAGAAACUAACUCUAACCUCUAGCUAAGUUAGAUUAUCCAAAGAGGGCCAUUGAAUUGAAGUCUGUCUCCGGCAAUCUACCUAUGGAUGAUGAGUUAUUGAUGAGGGACGUUUGGCCUCUGUGGUCCGGUCCGGCGCUGCACUGCUUUGGCCCCUUCACCUUGCACUCCCCUAUUCCUUUAUCCUUUG
This 702-nucleotide long non-coding RNA is filed under the name Hordeum vulgare. Its description in RNAcentral is "long non-coding RNA (HVUL_LNC010322)". Lineage: Eukaryota; Viridiplantae; Streptophyta; Magnoliopsida; Poales; Poaceae. The record is from RNAcentral.